UACGUAGGGUGCGAGCGUUGUCCGGAAUUAUUGGGCGUAAAGGGCUCGUAGGCGGUUUGUCGCGUCGGGAGUGAAAACCUUGGGCUUAACUCAGGGCUUGCUUUCGAUACGGGCAGACUAGAGGUAUGCAGGGGAGAACGGAAUUCCUGGUGUAGCGGUGAAAUGCGCAGAUAUCAGGAAGAACACCCGUGGCUAAGGCGGCUCUCUAGUACGGUACUGACGCUGAGACGCGAAAGCGUGGGGAGCGAACAGG
This 253-nucleotide ribosomal RNA is filed under the name uncultured bacterium. RNAcentral's name for it is "partial 16S ribosomal RNA". It matches the Rfam family "Bacterial small subunit ribosomal RNA", at positions 524 to 776 of the family's 1533-position model. The record is from RNAcentral.